AAAAUGACAAACCCUGAUUUCCGUGUCCAACGUUUGACCGUCCGUCUUAUUUGAAAAAAUUAAAAAGACAAAUCACGUAUAAAAUAUUAAUCAUGUUUUAUCAUCUAACAAUAAUGAAAAUACGAGUUAUAAAAAAAUUCAUAUAAUACGGACAGUUAAAGUUGGACACAAAAAUCCAGGGUUUGCCUUUUU
Non-coding RNA from Oryza nivara, 192 nucleotides. NCBI's taxonomy places the organism in Eukaryota, Viridiplantae, Streptophyta, Magnoliopsida, Poales, Poaceae. The record is from Rfam.